CCCCCUCAGUCUGCCAGAGCCCGGA
Molecule: microRNA, 25 nt
Filed under: Cavia porcellus (domestic guinea pig)
Lineage: Eukaryota; Metazoa; Chordata; Mammalia; Rodentia; Caviidae
Description: cpo-miR-760-5p
Gene: cpo-miR-760-5p
Source: miRBase by way of RNAcentral